This 21-nucleotide microRNA is filed under the name Spodoptera frugiperda (fall armyworm). RNAcentral describes it as "sfr-miR-10482-5p". Lineage: Eukaryota; Metazoa; Arthropoda; Insecta; Lepidoptera; Noctuidae. The record is from miRBase by way of RNAcentral.
UCGGUGAAUGCCAACGGAUUU